CCUACGGGGCGCAGCAGUGGGGAAUAUUGGGCAAUGGGCGCAAGCCUGACCCAGCAACGCCGCGUGAAGGAAGAAGGCUUUCGGGUUGUAAACUUCUUUUCUGAGGGACGAUAGUGACGGUACCUCAGGAAUAAGCCACGGCUAACUACGUGCCAGCAGCCGCGGUAAUACGUAGGUGGCAAGCGUUAUCCGGAUUUAUUGGGUUUAAAGGGUGCGUAGGCGGAAUGCCAAGUCAGCGGUAAAAUCGCGGGGCUCAACCUCGCUCCGCCGUUGAAGCUGGCGUUCUUGAGUGGGCGAGAAGUAUG
RNAcentral lists this ribosomal RNA (305 nucleotides) under uncultured bacterium. Its description in RNAcentral is "bacterial SSU rRNA". It matches the Rfam family "Bacterial small subunit ribosomal RNA", at positions 338 to 661 of the family's 1533-position model. The record is from RNAcentral.